This 178-nucleotide long non-coding RNA is filed under the name Dromaius novaehollandiae (emu). RNAcentral's name for it is "lncRNA (ENSDNVG00000005436.1)". The record is from RNAcentral. Lineage: Eukaryota; Metazoa; Chordata; Aves; Casuariiformes; Dromaiidae.
UCGCGCUCAGCCUCUGAGCACCAUUGAGUCACACCAACACCAAAGUUUUAGAGAAACAUUUAUUACAGGGUUGCAGAAUUUAUGUCAAUAUAAAGUCCCUUAUUAAAACUCUCAGGUUUAUCAACUGCAGGAGUAAUAUGCUACUUGCUCAUAAAAAGUUCAUCUAAAAAGUUUGUAU